GCCGGUAGCGGUGGCGUAGUGGUAAGCGCUCCGAGGCAACUUCCAAAAAUGCGGGAUUGGGUCACCUUGCUUUCUGGAGGUUGUGGGUAAUUCCCAUCGCCGGCA
RNAcentral lists this transfer RNA (105 nucleotides) under Aspergillus brasiliensis. RNAcentral's name for it is "tRNA-Gly". Lineage: Eukaryota; Fungi; Ascomycota; Eurotiomycetes; Eurotiales; Aspergillaceae. The record is from RNAcentral.